Taeniopygia guttata (zebra finch) is the source of this 1251-nucleotide non-coding RNA. Lineage: Eukaryota; Metazoa; Chordata; Aves; Passeriformes; Estrildidae. The record is from RefSeq and is a predicted model, not a curated record.
CUCAAAAUCUCUAAAUGCCUUAAAGUUUACGUUUCAUCCCCUUUGGGUAGGAUUUUCCCUAGCAUGUAGGGGUUGGGCCUUCCUCAGACCCUUGACAGAGAUAAAGAGUUUUUUUCUUGUUUCCCUUUGUCUCUAAUCUCUUUUCAACAGUUUGUUGUUUGUUUUUCUAGAGGAAGCGUUCUAUGUAAGGUCCAGUCUGGAUCAGGAAGUGCUUGGGAGCAGCUGCAGCGUGGAUGGGCCGUGCCCUUGGAGAAGGCUGAGGACAUCGUUUGGGACCAGCUUUUCUCCCAGCGGUGGAUGGCGUGAGCCGGGCUCUGCGGGUGCUGAGGCUGCUCUGGGCCCUGCCAGGGCUCUGCUGGAGCUCAGCACCGGGCCACAAUCAGCCAAAGGAGAAAUGGGGUGCCCUGCAGCACAGACUUGCUUGAGCAUUUCAGCAACACAGUUCAAGUUUGCAGAGUGUACACCUCCAAGGGAAAACAUGGCACCACCCAAGAAAUAAACUUGUUCAAUAACUUCUGAAAUUAAAUCAAUCUGGGAUGACCCCAAAUGACAUUUUGCAGCUUGCUCAAGCUGUAGCUCAGCCCUUCUCUGACCAGUUCUCUCCCCCACCUGCCUUUUACUCCCCAACUGCUCCCUAUUUUCCGUCAGUGAGCUCCCAGCCCAUUCCAGUCUCCAUCACACUGUUGCCUUCCUUGGUGCCGCUCACCAUGAGGAAGGCCGAGCCCCAGGCUUAGGGACUCAUCCUGUCACUGGCUGAGGAGCAGCAAUGUCUCAGAGCUCCGGUGGGAUUUUAGUGUCAUUCAGAGCUGCUCUCCAGCCCCCAGCUCUCCUCACUGCUGAGUUCCCACUCCCUUUUCCUCAUCCUUGCAGCAGGAUGAGCUCUGUGAAUCCCCUUGAGCCUCCCCACUCUUCCCAGCCCACGCACCCACCUCAGUUAGGCUGAAGCUGCAGCUUCUCUGUCUCCUCUGGCACAGCAGUGCAGUCCCCUGUGCGGGGAGCCCCAGCCCCAGAGCACAGCACUCAGCAGUGCAGUCAGGGCUGGAGCAGCUGCCCUGCAGCCCUGGCUUGGCUCUUUGUGGCAGGGAAUGCUCCCUGUUUGCAGCUGUCCCUGCAGGAUGGCCCCAGGGCAGAGCCCAGCCGGGCUCCCACUGCAGCCCCUGAAGCUGUGAAACCAGUGAAAUCAUCCAGACUGGGUUUUUCAAAGGCCCUUAGAAGGAAGGGCUUGAGAAUAAACGUGCUCUGUUUGCCACA